AUACGUAGGGUGCGAGCGUUAAUCGGAAUUACUGGGCGUAAAGCGUGCGCAGGCGGUUUUGUAAGUCUGAUGUGAAAUCCCCGGGCUUAACCUGGGAACGGCCUUUGAGACUGCACGGCUAGAGUACGGCAGAGGGGGGGAGAAUUCCACGUGUAGCAGUGAAAUUCGUAGAUAUGUGGAGGAACACCGAUGGCGAAGGCAGCCCCCUGGGAUGGUACUGACGCUCAUGCACGAAAGCGUGGGGAGCAAACAGGAUUAGAUACCCUGGUAGUCCACGCCCUAAACGAUGUCAAUUAGCUGUUGGGGGUUUGAAUCCUUGGUAGCGUAGCUAACGCGUGAAAUUGACCGCCUGGGGAGUACGGCCGCAAGGUUAA
This 374-nucleotide ribosomal RNA is filed under the name uncultured bacterium. RNAcentral describes it as "bacterial SSU rRNA". It matches the Rfam family "Bacterial small subunit ribosomal RNA", at positions 523 to 897 of the family's 1533-position model. The record is from RNAcentral.